AUCUAUGGCCACACCAACCUGAAUGCGCCCAAUCUCAUCUGAUCUCGGAAGCUAAGCAGGGUUGGGCCUGGUUAGUACUUGGAUGGGAGAAUGCACUGGUCAUAGCAC
RNAcentral lists this ribosomal RNA (108 nucleotides) under Capra hircus (goat). Lineage: Eukaryota; Metazoa; Chordata; Mammalia; Artiodactyla; Bovidae. The record is from RNAcentral.